GGAGUUGAAUUCCGAGGCAAAACGACGCGUUUUGAAGGUGCAGUGUGUCUCUGUGUCUUCUGAUGGGAAGGCACCAGCAAAUAGGGAUCCAGAGGUCCAAGAGUUAAAGAAUUAUAAAAAAUCUAAAUUAAGACAGAUCAGUGAGUGUACAGCACGCGCGAGAAGAGGAGUUUAGAUUCUCCGACGCAGCUCUGUUUUCGUCUUUGGUAGUCUUGUUCGUUGGUCUCUCUACAGGGAACGAUUGUAGAAGUAGUGUCCGGGCAGCGAAGGAGAACAGACGAAAAGAGAGAAGAAGGUUAAAACGUUGCGUUUUAU
RNAcentral lists this unclassified non-coding RNA (315 nucleotides) under Hevea brasiliensis (rubber tree). Lineage: Eukaryota; Viridiplantae; Streptophyta; Magnoliopsida; Malpighiales; Euphorbiaceae. The record is from RNAcentral.